Molecule: ribosomal RNA, 550 nt
Filed under: uncultured bacterium
Lineage: Bacteria
Description: bacterial SSU rRNA
Rfam family: Bacterial small subunit ribosomal RNA
Source: RNAcentral
UAGGGAAUCUUCGGCAAUGGGGGCAACCCUGACCGAGCAACGCCGCGUGAGUGAAGAAGGUUUUCGGAUCGUAAAGCUCUGUUGUAAGUCAAGAACGAGUGUGAGAGUGGAAAGUUCACACUGUGACGGUAGCUAACCAGAAAGUCACGGCUAACUACGUGCCAGCAGCCGCGGUAAUACGUAGGUGGCAAGCGUUAUCCGGAUUUAUUGGGCGUAAAGAGAGUGCAGGCGGUUUUCUAAGUCUGAUGUGAAAGCCUUCGGCUUAACCGGAGAAGUGCAUCGGAAACUGGAUAACUUGAGUGCAGAAGAGGGUAGUGGAACUCCAUGUGUAGCGGUGGAAUGCGUAGAUAUAUGGAAGAACACCAGUGGCGAAGGCGGCUACCUGGUCUGCAACUGACGCUGAGACUCGAAAGCAUGGGUAGCGAACAGGAUUAGAUACCCUGGUAGUCCAUGCCGUAAACGAUGAGUGCUAGGUGUUGGAGGGUUUCCGCCCUUCAGUGCCGGAGCUAACGCAUUAAGCACUCCGCCUGGGGAGUACGACCGCAAGGUU